Long non-coding RNA from Magnolia sinica, 459 nucleotides. RefSeq lists it as uncharacterized. The record is from RefSeq and is a predicted model, not a curated record. Lineage: Eukaryota; Viridiplantae; Streptophyta; Magnoliopsida; Magnoliales; Magnoliaceae. The transcript has 2 exons.
CUGGUUGGCCUACUCCUGGUGGACCUGGACCUGGUGGGCCACCUGGUUGGGGCCCUCCACCGGGCCCAGGGUCUAUUGGCCUUCCUCGAUCAGAUGGGCCUUGGGUAGCAGGGCCCAUAGGCGCUCCAGCUUGGGGACCCACCUUCUUGGGUGGCCUUGGAAAUGCAAUAAACUCCUGCUUUUACUUCCUGUGCUGCUGCUUCCUGCUACAAGAGUGUUGUGGACCGUUUUUUGGUGGGCCACCACCACCUGGCCCAGUUGGUCCCCCAGGCCCACCUGGUCCACCAGGAUUCUGAGGUGUUAUAAGAAGGAAAUGGGAUUGUGUAAUAACAUGAGAUGGUCUCCUUUGAUAGACCAUGUUCAAGCCGCAUUAGAUAUGCUGUAUUGGAUAAAGGACUUGUUUCUAACAUUAAUUUUCUAAAUUCCAUAAUAUAAAUGUACAAUGUACUUUUUAUUUUC